AAUGAUGCCCUUUCCCGAGUUAUGUGUUGGUUUACUUAUAAUAACUUGUUACUAAAUUCUAAUAAAACAAAAUGUAUUAGAUUUUCUUUGCCUAACGUAAAACAGGGAUCACUCUAGAUUCUCGUUUGCAAUGGAAGCCCCAUAUUACAAAUCUAUCGGCAAGACUUAGUUCGGCUGCUUUUGCGAUAAGAAAGAUUAGAUGGAUGUCUGAUGUCGAAACGGCGAGGCUUGUAUACUUCAGUUACUUCCAUAGUGUUAUGACAUAUGGUAUAUUGUUGUGGGGCUCAGCGGCCGAUAUUCAAGAUAUUU
Molecule: long non-coding RNA, 309 nt
Organism: Pieris napi
Lineage: Eukaryota; Metazoa; Arthropoda; Insecta; Lepidoptera; Pieridae
Exons: 2
Source: RefSeq, a predicted model, not a curated record